RNAcentral lists this ribosomal RNA (419 nucleotides) under uncultured bacterium. RNAcentral's name for it is "bacterial SSU rRNA". It matches the Rfam family "Bacterial small subunit ribosomal RNA", at positions 40 to 507 of the family's 1533-position model. The record is from RNAcentral.
CGGCAGGCCUAACACAUGCAAGUCGAGCGCCCCGCAAGGGGAGCGGCGGACGGGUGAGUAACACGUGGGAAUUUUCCUCAAGGUACGGAACAACUCAGGGAAACUUGGGCUAAUACCGUAUGAUGCAGAGAUGCCAAAGAUUUAUCGCCUUGGGAUAAGCCCGCGUCAGAUUAGGUAGUUGGUGGGGUAAUGGCCUACCAAGCCUGUGAUCUGUAGCUGGUCUGAGAGGACGAUCAGCCACAUUGGGACUGAGACACGGCCCAAACUCCUACGGGAGGCAGCAGUGGGGAAUCUUGCGCAAUGGACGAAAGUCUGACGCAGCCAUGCCGCGUGAAUGAUGAAGGUCUUAGGAUUGUAAAGUUCUUUAGCCUGUGACGAUGAUGACGGUAACAGGAGAAUAAGCCCCGGCUAACUUCGUG